RNAcentral lists this ribosomal RNA (255 nucleotides) under uncultured bacterium. RNAcentral describes it as "partial 16S ribosomal RNA". It matches the Rfam family "Bacterial small subunit ribosomal RNA", at positions 524 to 777 of the family's 1533-position model. The record is from RNAcentral.
UACGUAGGGAGCAAGCGUUGUCCGGAAUCAUUGGGCGUAAAGCGCGCGUAGGUGGCUUCGUAAGUCCGUUGUGAAAGUCAAAGGCUCAACCUUUGAAAGCCGAUGGAUACUGCGGAGCUAGAGUACGGAAGAGGCGAGUGGAAUUCCUGGCGUAGCGGUGAAAUGCGUAGAUAUCUGGAGGAACACCGGUGGCGAAGGCGGCAUCCUGGACCGGUAUUGACGCUGAGGCGCGGAAAGCCAGGGGAGCAAAGCGGG